CCUACGGGUGGCUGCAGUGGAGAAUAUUGGACAAUGGGGGCAACCCUGAUCCAGCCAUGCCGCGUGUGUGAAGAAGGCCCUCGGGUUGUAAAGCACUUUCAGUGAGGAAGAACGCCUGGUGGUUAAUACCCAUCAGGAAAGACAUCACUCACAGAAGAAGCACCGGCUAACUCCGUGCCAGCAGCCGCGGUAAUACGGAGGGUGCGAGCGUUAAUCGGAAUUACUGGGCGUAAAGCGCGCGUAGGUGGCUUGAUAAGCCGGUUGUGAAAGCCCCGGGCUCAACCUGGGAACGGCAUCCGGAACUGUCAAGCUAGAGUGCAGGAGAGGAAGGUAGAAUUCCCGGUGUAGCGGUGAAAUGCGUAGAGAUCGGGAGGAAUACCAGUGGCGAAGGCGGCCUUCUGGACUGACACUGACACUGAGGUGCGAAAGCGUGGGUAGCAAACAGGAUUAGAUACCCUGGUAGUC
This 465-nucleotide ribosomal RNA is filed under the name Vreelandella stevensii. RNAcentral's name for it is "partial 16S ribosomal RNA". It matches the Rfam family "Bacterial small subunit ribosomal RNA", at positions 338 to 795 of the family's 1533-position model. The record is from RNAcentral. Lineage: Bacteria; Pseudomonadati; Pseudomonadota; Gammaproteobacteria; Oceanospirillales; Halomonadaceae.